This 434-nucleotide ribosomal RNA is filed under the name Filobasidium stepposum. RNAcentral describes it as "partial large subunit ribosomal RNA". It matches the Rfam family "Eukaryotic large subunit ribosomal RNA", at positions 136 to 576 of the family's 3401-position model. The record is from RNAcentral. Lineage: Eukaryota; Fungi; Basidiomycota; Tremellomycetes; Filobasidiales; Filobasidiaceae.
AUCCGAGUUGUAAUCUAUAGAAGUGUUUUCCGUGCUGGCUCAUGUACAAGUCCCUUGGAACAGGGCGUCAUAGAGGGUGAGAAUCCCGUCCUUGACAUGAACUACCAGUGCUCUGUGAUACAUUUUCAACGAGUCGAGUUGUUUGGGAAUGCAGCUCAAAAUGGGUGGUAAAUUCCAUCUAAAGCUAAAUAUUGGCGAGAGACCGAUAGCGAACAAGUACCGUGAGGGAAAGAUGAAAAGCACUUUGGAAAGAGAGUUAAACAGUAUGUGAAAUUGUUAAAAGGGAAACGAUUGAAGUCAGUCGUGCUCUUUGGAUUCAGCCGGUUCUGCCGGUGUACUUCCUUUGAGUGGGGUCAACAUCAGUUUUGAUCGCUGGAUAAAGGCUGGAGGAACGUAGCACCCCCGGGUGAACUUAUAGCCUCCUGUCACAUACA